GGGGGGGAGGGCAGAUGGACACUAUAGUGAUAGGAGUAAAGCUUUGUAUUCCUAAGACUAUAAUGUUACUUUAACAUAUUCUGCAAUGGAAACAUACAAGUAAAUGAAGCCAAUCAAAAUUUGGUAUUGAGGAAACACGGAAAGAUACGAAGGCCGUGCUUGAUCUAGCUUACAGAAUACAGUGAGUCGAUUUAGUUACACAAAAG
Pelobates cultripes (western spadefoot toad) is the source of this 206-nucleotide non-coding RNA. The record is from the annotation of a GenBank genome assembly. NCBI's taxonomy places the organism in Eukaryota, Metazoa, Chordata, Amphibia, Anura, Pelobatidae.